RNAcentral lists this ribosomal RNA (400 nucleotides) under uncultured bacterium. RNAcentral's name for it is "bacterial SSU rRNA". It matches the Rfam family "Bacterial small subunit ribosomal RNA", at positions 104 to 520 of the family's 1533-position model. The record is from RNAcentral.
GGUCGAGUAACACGUAGACAACUGCCGGUGAGUGGGGGAUAACAGCGGGAAACUGCUGCUAAUACCGCAUGGGGCAGAGCAGCGAUGGCUGCUCCCGCUAAAGGAGCAAUUCGCUCACCGAUGGGUCUGCGGCCUAUCAGCUAGUUGGUGGGGUAACUGGCCCACCAAGGCGACGACGGGUAGCUGGUCUGAGAGGAUGAUCAGCCGGACGGGGACUGAGACACGGCCCCGACUCCUUCGGGAGGCAGCAAUGAGGAAUAUUGCGCAAUGGGCGAAAGCCUGACGCAGCGACGCCGCGUGGGUGAGGAAGUCCUUCGGGAUGUAAAGCCCUUUUAUCGGGGACGAUCCAAGACGGUACCCGAUGAAUAAGCCCCGGCUAACUACGUGCCAGCCGCCGCGG